CAGUAGUUUGUUUUAUAUUCCACAACACCACCACAACAACAAACAAACAAACCAAAGGUGAACGAAAAGAACCCAUCCUUACCAGCGAAGUAUUAGAAAUAAAUUGCCAUGGAGAAUGCUACCUGGUUGCCUACCUAUGUAAAAUCAAAGAAGGAUAGUUGUGCAAUUACGCUGAAGGACAUCGUUUACACAACUAUCGAAGUUAGUUAAUACGAACAAUUUUCGCAUGACUUAAGAAGCAUUACUUUAUCGCAGGACGAAUAUUGUAAAGAUUGGCAAGAAAGACUUUUAGCAAAUAUUAUUCAGAAAUAAAGAAACAGUUUUGCUUUUUUUCCCUAAUUCUAGAGGAGCACGAAAAACAACUUUUCGAUGUAAAUUCGGAACUAGACAAUAAAAAGCAAAACUGAGACACCAUUUUAGUACUAAAUUGGACUAGAUUUAAAUAAUGUGAUUUUUAUGCGAUAAGUUUAAUGGCCUGCCAAUGUUCAGACUCGAGAGACGGACUUGAAAAAAAGUGUUCGGUAUUUUUUUCCUAGUUUAUUAUUUUAUGACAAGA
This is a long non-coding RNA of Hydractinia symbiolongicarpus, 556 nucleotides long. RefSeq lists it as uncharacterized. The record is from RefSeq and is a predicted model, not a curated record. Lineage: Eukaryota; Metazoa; Cnidaria; Hydrozoa; Anthoathecata; Hydractiniidae. The transcript has 3 exons.